UAAGCUAUCAAUGGUGCACUCUCGUUUGGAGAAAAAGAUUUUCUUUUGGUUCAGUGUUAGAGAUAGGAUUCUUGGAUUCCAUUUUUUAAGGCUAAAAAAAAUACUUUCUGUUUGUGUUUGGCCUGAUAUCUAUGUAGGAUAUUGUUUAAUAUUUGUUAGUGAUAGUUCAUCUGAUUUUUUUCUGGGUUCUUAGCAAAGAGUUUGCUUCAUUUCUAGAUGAAGAAGCAAAAAACUUGGGAAAAACUGGGAAAGUUUAUUUGAUAUGGACCAAUAAAACCAGACAUAUUUAAUAUGGUAAAAACAGUGGUAAUCAGACAAAAAAUGGAACUGUCAUUGGAGCAAAUCAAUUCCCGGAGUUUAUUUUCCCGGAGAUUUCUUAUGGUUGUUGAAAUUAGAACUUGAAUAUAUUUUCAUAGAGGAAUUAGAAUGUGGCAUUUAUAGCGUUCUGAAUGGCCAAGUGAGAUUACAGAUGAUCAAAUGCUUAGAUUUUGGUGCUAGGUAUAGGCUAAUUAAAAUCUCUCUAUUUUUAAAUGUGGUUUGAUUGAUAGUCACCUCAGUAGUAUAUAAACCAUGGUUUGCAGGAGGAGCCAUGGCCUGAAUUGAAAACAUUAUGAAUGCACUUAUUUCUGGAGCUGAUAAAGUGAAUGAUCUACAGGAAGAUUCUAUAACAAAUGUUGAACUCAUGAGGAUUGGUGGUGCUGUUCUAGUCAAGUGCAAAACCCGUUAAUUUUGCAUCCUUUGCAUUGGCUUUUAUAUCACAUCAUGCUUGUGUACCGCAGAUGUGGCUGUUUGACCGGUUUUCAUUGCAUUUUUGUUUGUUGAACUGAGUUUUGAGAACUACUUGCCAACAACAUGCAUGCUUGGUUGAAGAAUUGAUGCCACAAAAUUAUAUGCUCUUUCAAUGCUUGCAGGACAUCAUCAGAGGAAAUAAAGUCCCUUAGAUUGAUAACAGCCAUCAAAACCCCAUAUUUACCUGAUGGUAGAUUUGACCUUGAAGCAUAUGACGCUUUGGUGAAUAUGCAAAUUGUUGACGGUGCUGAAGGCGUGAUUGUUGGUGGCACAACUGGUGAAGGUCAGUUGAUGAGCUGGGAUGAACACAUAAUGCUUAUUGGUCACACAGUUAACUGUUUUGGUAGUUCAAUCAAGGUGAUUGGAAAUACUGGAAGCAACUCUACAAGGGAAGCAAUUCAUGCUACAGAGCAAGGGUUUGCAGUUGGAAUGCAUGCUGCUCUUCACAUCAACCCUUACUAUGGAAAAACCUCUGUGGAGGGCUUGGUUUCCCACUUUGAUAGUGUGCUACCUAUGGGCCCUACAAUUAUUUACAAUGUGCCAUCACGAACUGGCCAAGAUAUUCCUCCAGGUGUGAUACACAGUGCAGCACAAAGUCCAAACUUGGCAGGUGUUAAAGAAUGCAUGGGUAAUGAUCGGGUGGAACAGUACACAGAGAAAGGAAUUGUGGUAUGGAGUGGGAAUGAUGAUGAAUGCCAUGAUGCUAGAUGGAGCCAUGGGGCUACCGGAGUGAUUUCUGUUGCUAGCAACUUAGUCCCAGGCUUAAUGCGCAAGCUCAUGAUCGAGGGGAAGGACCCUGCACUAAAUUCAAAACUUUUGCCUCUCAUACGAUGGCUUUUCCAAGAGCCAAACCCUAUUGGUUUGAACACAGCUCUGGCACAACUUGGAGUCGUGAGACCAGUUUUCAGGCUGCCAUAUGUACCUCUUCCUCUGCCAAAGAGGAUAGAAUUUGUGAAUUUGGUCAAGGCAAUUGGGCGUGAGAAUUUUGUAGGAGAACAAGAUGUCCAGGUUCUCGAGGACGACGACUUCAUGUUGGUAGGUCGGUAUUAGUCAGUUUUUGCUAUUCAGGACUUUUUGCUUGGAUUUUUAAUAUGACUAGUAAGUUUUGCAGUUUCAGUUACAAUAAUGCUUCUUGUUACAUUGUUGAAUCUGAAGCUGAAAAUAUAGUCUUUUAACUUCUUGUUACUGGUGUUUAAUGUUCAAAAAGAUCUCUGUUUGGAUUAUCUGGUGUCAUUGGUUGCAAAUCAUCUUGGCUCUUGGAUGAGAAAUGUUGGUAUCAUCUUACUUGCUUCUAAAAGCUCAAAUGUGAUUUUGCUGAUUAUGUUAAAUAAUUGUAUGUAGUGUCUUAAUACUUACUGUUUUAUACUGCUUGAGUGGUGUAUUGAAAUGUAAAUGCUUGAACUUUGAACCAAAUUGUUUGUUCUUGAGAAAUUCUUGGUCAAGUGGAAUGUAAAUCAAAGUGUUCCUCUUUCUUUUCUGGUCUAGUAUAAAUGAAUUUUAUAAAAUUUCAUAAUUUUAUGAAGUUCAUUCAUAAAUGAAUUAUAUUUCUAUUUAUAAAAUAAUGAAUUAUUUUCUUCAAAUUGGUGUAUUCUAGAGGAACCUGAAUAGUUUCCCAAUCAUCUUGGAUUUCUUUUUUUUUUGUUUUUUUUUGGUAAAUUGGAUUUAAUUUCUUUUGACAAUGCGCCAAAGUUACUUUGACAAGUGGUAAAUUACUAUACUUUCAUUAAUUAAAUCUUGAUAUAAACAAAAUUAAUAUAUCAGCUUUUAAUCUUACAAUAAAAUUCUAUUUAAUCAAAUAUUUGAUUAAUUUUAGAAACAAUUUAAUAUAAAUUCAUGGAUACUAACACAAGGAUAUAUUAGAAAAAAAUGAAGCAAAUCAAGACAUUAGCGGUAACACAGUUGGAAGAUUGGCUAUAUCUUAAAUUACUCCACAUGAAAAUAGUUUGGACUUUCUUUUCAUUUUCAAGUCAUCAUAAUAAUAUUCCAUAGUCAAGCAUAGACUUUUGAAUUUUGGCAUUCACAGUCAUAUUACAAUGACAAUGAUGUGUGAAAGCUUUUUACAUGCUUACGAAAAGGUGACAUUUCCAUAUUUAUUGUAUUCUUAUAUGUUCAGAAGAACACAAGUGUCAAAUUGAUGCUAUAAGUCAAAAUAAAUAAUAACUUACUCUUCUCAGUGAGCUAAUAAAUAAUUUUCUGAAAGAUAAAAUAUAACUGAAUUCCUGAUUAACCUUAAGUCCCUCUAUAUCUUAAAAAGUUCUUAACUUAUAUUUUAAUCUCACUAUUAGAUCAUUCUGUCUAAUAAGUGAGCUUUUUACCAUUAAUUAGACACACUUUUUGGAUGGAAUAUGCUCAUUUUUUAGAUGGAAAAAGGUCACUUUUUGGAUGAAAAGACUCGAUAAAGAGAUAGAGCAUAAGUUAAGGAUAUCGUAACUAUUUCUCAAAUGUAGAAAGAUUUAAAUGUUAAUUUGAAUAUAAUAUAGGAACCCAGUUAUAUUUUACCCUUUUUCUGAAUUAUGUGUCUUUGCUGCAAAAGAGAUGGCCUUUGGUUUGGCAUUUUUUGCCCCUCAAGAACACCUCAAGCCAUGUCUUCAGAAGCGGCAUACCCAGAAUUAGAAAGCUUCAAAUAUGCUUUAGAAAGACAACAGAUUAUAUUCAAAUCAACCAGAACAAAGAAAAUCACUAUAAAACAUUUCCUCACUCUAUCUACAGUUACAUUAGAACAAUUGGCAGCUACAACAAAAUUUGCUAUGAACUAAAAGAGAUCACUAAAAAAAUGAUGAUUACUUGAUCAAAGGUUUACAGAAACCAAAAAUGAACUGCAUAAAUGUUUUCAUCUAAACAUUUAACUUGUUGGAUCAAACAUAUCUUUUACCUUGUUUUUUGUCCACUGGAUUAGCAUCCUGCUUGUGUUUAAGGGCCUCAUCGCCUCGAAUGAAGUGGAGAACGAUUACGGGGUGAUUUUUGAAUGCGGUGAGAAGUGGAAGAACUUGAUGAACCAGAAGUAUUUUUAGUCCCCUUUGGUUUUUCCUUGAUUGCAUCUAUUUGUUCUAAUGCGUCCACAACUUCUCUCAUUGAGGGUCGGCUUUGAGGAUCUGGUUCGAGGCAUUGUAAGGUAAGUUGUGCUGCUUGUAACAUUGCCUUGGAGGAGUUUUGGCCUUCUAUUCUUACAUCCAUCGUGGCUUUUAACUUUUUCUUAUAUGGGAGAAUUGGCUUCAACCAAUCAACCAAAUUUUGCUGCCCAUUUGGACGCCUCCUAUCGAGUGCCCUUAAGCCUGUCAGCAACUCAAGCAGCACCACUCCGAAGCCAUACACGUCACUCUUAACAUAUAAAUGGCCUGAUUAUUAUUGCAAAAAAAGUAUGUCAGAUAAUUAAACUAUAACAACCUAUUAGAACAGAACUCCAAAUGCUUAAUUUUUUCUGUCUUGUCCGUCAAACUCCAUAAUCAAGCAUAUACUCAAUUCUUGAUUUUACCAAUUAUACAUAUAUAUGUGUGAGUGUAUGUGUGUGUGUCUGUGUAGGGAAACACAAUUUCGCACUUUUAUUUUAUUACCUGUUGCAAUGUAUUCAGGAGCUGCAUAACCAUAAGAACCCAUAACCCUGGUUGUCACAUGUGAGUCUCCACCUGAAGGCCCCAAUUUUGCCAAGCCAAAAUCUGAUAUUUUUGCAUUGUAAUUCUUUGAAAAGACAACAAAAGAAGAAGAAACAACAAUGUCAGUAAAACAUUUGAAUGCUUUCACCUAAAAUGGAAGCUUUCAAACUCUCUGUCCCUUUCUCUUGUUUAGAAUUUGAAGCACAUAAAAAGAAGACAGCACUUGCUUUUUGGAAGUUUACUAAAUUUUUAGUGCUAUCAUCAUAAUGUCGAUACAAUCAAAAGUGUAAAAAUCAGUAUUGAAGUAUCGCAUUGAGACCGACCAUUUGGUAGCAUUAACAAGUUAUGAAAGGAAAUUUAGAAUCACAUCAAUCGAUUUCUAUUCUUUCAAGAAACAGAAAGAGAAAUUUAUAAAUUAGGCCUCAGAUUAAAAAAGAAGCAAAAAGAUAUAAUCGUAUAUAAACUAACCCCAUCAAGCAGAAUAUUUGAGGCCUUGAAAUCUCUGUAAAUGACUGGCUUUUCUGAGGUAUGAAGAAAAGCAAGACCUCGAGCUGUUCCAAUGGCUAUCUUGAGCCGUAAGUCCCAUGACAAGGGUUCAAUGUUAGGAUUCCCUGCAAAAACAAACAAUCCAAUGAUCAACGGAAAUUAUCUAAAAUUUAGCAAAUUCUAGUCUUUCUUUCUUCAAAAAUUUCCCCUCAAUCACUCAUUUUUAUCAAUUCUUACUUCUGAAAAGAUGAUUCUCCAAGCUUCCCUUCUGCAUGAAUUCAUACACAAGGAGUAGCUCUUUAUCCUCCCAACAAUAUCCUAACAAUUUAACCAGGUUAGGAUGUGAUAAUCUUCCUAGAAAGUUCACCUCCGACUGCAUUAUCCAAAAGAGUUCAAAAAAAUGCAGAUUGUUAGCAUCAAUAAGAAGGGCUAUAUUGCAUGGAUUUAAAUUCUCCAAACAUCAAGAACAGCUGCCCCACGAAGCAGAAGCUAAAAGGCUUUGUAUCAAAUCCUCAAUUCUCCUUCCCUAUCCCGUCAAAAUAAUAAUAACAAUAAUAAUAAUAAUACUAAUAAUAAAGACGAAAAAGGAAAAAAAAAAAAAAAAAAAAAAAAAAAAAACCUCAAGCUAGAGCAAUUUAUGCUAUAUCAUAACUUUGAUCAAUUGUGAAUCAACCAAAAGCAUUACAGUUUCCAGCGUUUUUCCUUAAAAGAGUUCUUUCAAAUAUGACCUUAUAAAAAUUGCACAUUCCUUCAAUUGUCACUCCAUUAUUACGGUAUGUUAGGCAAUGAAGGUGAGGAUGACCUUAUGAGCAAGGCAACUUGCAGACAUUACCACAAUUAAUGAAAUUGCAGUAAAUUGAAAACAAAAUGAAGCUGCAGGUGGGACCCAUUAUGGAAAAAUGAUUGAAGCCAACCAUAAACACAAUGCAUAAAACACUUUGCUUCCCCCACCUUUAUUCCCUCUCUUCUUCUUUUAAUUAAUGGUCAAGAGUCAAGACUCAUCAGAAACAAGAAUUUGGAAAAACAGAACAAUCAAUAAAUGGAAAAUAAUUCAUAUUUGGAAGGAAUAUACUAGAAUUGAAAAAUUAGAAUCAAAUACCUGCCACUCGUGAAAACCUUGAUAGCAACCGUUAACCCAGUGCCUGUUUUGGAAGGGGCAUAAGUCUUUUCCGCCAACCCCCCCUUGAAGACUUUACCAAAACCACCUUCACCCAAAACAGAAUCUGAUCUAAAAUUUCUUGUGGCACCCCUCAAAUCAGCAAAGGUGAACUCUUUCAAGUUUGGUGCCUCCAAUAUUUGACCAUUAGAGUUUCCAUCUUCAUUCACUUCACUUACUGCAGCAGAGAAUUGGCUUUUCCCUGCACUGCUACUUGUGGCUGAGAACUCCAUGGUUGUGUUAUUGUUUGAUGACCCUUUCAAACCAAGAGAACAAAAUUCAAUGGAUCAGCUUCAAACCCAAGAAAUAAAAAAGCAAGUGCAAAAAAAAAAAAAAAAAAAAAAAAAAAGAGCAGGAAGAGGUAAAAAACAUACCAGGUGUAGGAGGAUUAGUAGUGCUGGUGAUGAUGGAGCUAGGAUUAACAUCAUGAGAAGAAGAUCCAAAACAAUUGCCCAUGUUGACUUUCAAGAUUCUCUCCUCUUAGAUGCUACCACUAUUACCAAAUAUGCUACUAAGAUCAAGAAAACAAGUUCAUAACAGUAGUAUUUUGUUUUUCAAAACGCUUUGGAAUGCUAAACCAACUAGUCAAGUGGAUCAGGCCCACCUGUUGUCACGAAAAUGCAACCCUAAAAUUGCAGACAAUAAACAGCCUCCAUUUCAGUUUUAUAAAAGAAGAAACAGAGCCUUUCCUCUCUAUCUCUAACUCUGACGCAUAAAUACAAUUACUAUUCGUCGGCGCUGCCGCUGCCGCCGCCGCCUCCUCCAAUUGGUCGGAAACUGAUGUCAUGUCCUCUAGUAAUAACAGCCGUAGCUCCGCCAUCCUCUUCCACUUCUUCCAGCAAACUAUCACUACCGCGAUUAUUCCUACUAUUUCCACCAUUAUCACAAUUACCACUGUUCACUAAAAAGUCACAAUCUUUAUUCUAGUCGAUUCUUAUCUCUUGAAAAUUUUCUUACUCGUUUUCUGGCAUUCGGGUAGAAGAGAAAAAAGAAAAAGAUGGCUGCUUUGAGUGGCUAUGGUGUGUUCUUGAAAGAGUCUGCUCUCCAGCUACCGCGUUCUGUUUCCACCAAUUACUACAAGAGGUCAAAUCUGAUAAUAUUAUAUAUUUUUGUUGUGGCUUAUGUAUGCUUAUUUUGGGGUUUAGGCGAUAAGCUUUUUGCUAGUAACUUUUAUUUCCUGUUCUUAGCUGAUGGUGGUUGCUUUGUUUUCUUUUUUCUCUUUAAUAGGAGGAAUGCGAAAUGGAGUCCCCCUCAAGCUGCUAUAAUUCCCAAUUUCCAUCUUCCAAUGCGUAGUUUUGAAGUUAAAAAUAGGUAAGCUAUCAAUGGUGCACUCUCGUUUGGAGAAAAAGAUUUUCUUUUGGUUCAGUGUUAGAGAUCGGAUUCUUGGAUUCCAUUUUUUAAGGCUAAAAAAAAUACUUUCUGUUUGUGUUUGGCCUGAUAUCUAUGCAGGACAUUGUUUAAUAUUUGUUAGUGAUAGUUCAUCUGAUUUUUUUUCUGGGUUCUUAGCAAAGAGUUUGCUUCAUUUCUAGAUGAAGACGCAAAAAACUUGGGAAAAACUGGGAAAGUUUAUUUCAUAUGGACCAAUAAAACCAGACAUAUUUAAUAUGGUAAAAACAGUGGUAAUCUGACAAAAAAUGGAACUGUCAUUGGAGCAAAUCAAUUCCCGGUGUUUAUUUUCCUGGAGAUUUCUUAUGGUUGUUGAAAUUAGAACUUGAAUAUAUUUUCAUAGAGGAAUUAGAAUGUAGCAUUUAUAGCGUUCUGAAUGGCCAAGUGAGAGUACAGAUGAUCAAAUGCUUAGAUUUUGGUGCUAGGGAUAGGCUAAUUAAAAUCUCUCUAUUUUUAAAUGUGGUUUGAUUGAUAGUCACCUCAGUAGUAUAUAAACCACGGUUUGCAGGAGGAGCCAUGGCCUGAAUUGAAAACAUUAUGAAUGAAUGCACUUAUUUCUGGAGCUGAUAAAGUGAAUGAUCUACAGGAAGAUUCUGUACCAAAUGUUGAACGGAUAAGGAUGGGUGGUACCGUUCUAGUCAAGUGCAAAACAUGUUAAUUUUGCAUCCUUUGCAUUGGCUUUUAUAUCACAUCAUGCUUGUUUACGGCAGAUGUGGCUGUUUGUCUGGUUUUCAUUGCAUUUUUGUUUGUUGAACUGAGUUUUGAGAACUAUCUCGCCAACAACAUGCAUGCUUGGUUGAAGAAUUGAUGCCACAAAAUUAUAUGCUCUUUCAAUGCUUGCAGGACAUCAUCAGAGGAAAUAAAGUCCCUUAGAUUGAUAACAGCCAUCAAAACCCCAUAUUUACCUGAUGGUAGAUUUGACCUUGAAGCAUAUGACGCUUUGGUGAAUAUGCAAAUUGUUGACGGUGCUGAAGGCGUGAUUGUUGGUGGCACAACUGGUGAAGGUCAGUUGAUGAGCUGGGAUGAACACAUAAUGCUUAUUGGUCACACUGUUAACUGUU
This 8468-nucleotide long non-coding RNA is filed under the name Jatropha curcas. RNAcentral describes it as "long non-coding RNA (JCUR_LNC000525)". Lineage: Eukaryota; Viridiplantae; Streptophyta; Magnoliopsida; Malpighiales; Euphorbiaceae. The record is from RNAcentral.